Molecule: ribosomal RNA, 485 nt
Filed under: uncultured bacterium
Lineage: Bacteria
Description: partial 16S ribosomal RNA
Rfam family: Bacterial small subunit ribosomal RNA
Source: RNAcentral
ACUCAAAUGAAUUGACGGGGAAGCGCACAAGCAGUGGAGCGUGUGGUUUAAUUCGAGACGAAACGAAAGACCUCACCUGGGUUUGACAUGUCUCUGCAAGACCACAGAAAUGCGGUACCUUCGAGGGUGAGACAAAGCUGCUGCAUGGCUGUCGUCAGCUCGUGCCGUGGGGUGUUGGCUUAAGUGCCAAAACGAGCGCAACCCCCAUCCAAUGUUAUUUUUUCAUUGGAAACUGCCUUGGCUUUUGUCAGGGAGGAAGGAGGGGACGACGUCAAGUCAGCACGGCGCUUAUGCCCAGGGCCACACACACACUACAAUGGCGAAAAACAAUGAGUUGCUAAACGGCAACGUUAAGCUAAUCUCUGAAAUUUCGCCUCAGUUCAGAUUGGGGUCUGCAACCCGACCCCAUGAAGUCGGAAUUGCUAGUAAUCGCGCAUCAGCAUGGCGCGGUGAAUACGUUCUCGCUUCUUGUACACACCGCCCGU